AUAGCCUGUAUAUGUAGUAUAUAUAUUAGUUUGCAUUAAUUAUGAAAUCAUAAUCGGCAUUUUCAAGUGAGUGAAGCUAGUGCAGGUAAGAACUGCCGUCAACCAGAUAAUGUACCUCAUUGUCUGUUAAUUAUUGGAGUAAAUUAGCUACUUAAACUGCAUUUAAUCUCUUGCUGAAAAACAAUCAGCUUGACAGUACAUUUUGAUGUUUUGUGGUGCUGAAGGAUUAAAAGUUCACUCUCUUUAGCUGGGGUGUUUAAUAUUAGGUUUCUGGAAUGUGCUGCAAGGUACCAUUUUUAUUUAUGUGGAACAUAAAUCACUCUAACAUCUAUAACUUUUCUGUAAAAGAGGAGAUGUACUUCUAUUUUUUUUUUCCGUGUUGUGUUUUUGUUUUUCUUCUUUGUUGCUGCUGGUGUAUCACAUUUAUUUCUCUUCACUCAUCCUUCCUGUUCUAUGGACCAUGAAAACUCCGAGGACCACAGUAAGAGUAGCUGUCAAGAAAAGCUCUGUGGUAUUUCAGACAUGGUUUCUAAAGGGACCAAGGCUUACAUCACCAUCUGUUUCCUCCUGACUGUGCUAUUGAAUUCCAGGCCAUCUUUGAUACAGCAGGAAGAGUCUAGAAAUCAGGCAAGUUCCACCAAGUUUUGAAAACUCAGUGACUAUGCAUGAAAUGAGUGCUCAUUGGGCAGCGAUGCUGUUGUCAGUGUCUGGUUGUGCUUCCGUGUAGUAGUGGCUCUAAUGCAUUCCCCAACCUGGUUUGUGCUUGCUCCAUUGGCAAAUGGGGCCUGUUAGUGGGAUGAGAGGAGGAGUGCUGGGGGCACAUUCCCUGGGGAAGGGGAAAUUCAGUACUGCUACUAUGGCAGAGGAUGUGCAGUUUGUUGUGGGGUUGCACUGCAGUGAGGAAUACAAACGUAUGAGAAACUGGAUUUUCAUGAUUUCUGCUGGUAUUAGAUGUUAU
Molecule: long non-coding RNA, 958 nt
Filed under: Numida meleagris (helmeted guineafowl)
Lineage: Eukaryota; Metazoa; Chordata; Aves; Galliformes; Numididae
Description: lncRNA (ENSNMEG00000023179.1)
Source: RNAcentral